UUAAUGAGAGUUUGAUCCUGGCUCAGGACGAACGCUGGCGGCGUGCCUAAUACAUGCAAGUAGAACGCUGAGGACUGGUGCUUGCACCGGUCCAAGGAGUUGCGAACGGGUGAGUAACGCGUAGGUAACCUACCUCAUAGCGGGGGAUAACUAUUGGAAACGAUAGCUAAUACCGCAUAAAAGUGUUUAACCCAUGUUAAACAUUUAAAAGGUGCAAUUGCAUCACUAUGAGAUGGACCUGCGUUGUAUUAGCUAGUUGGUGAGGUAACGGCUCACCAAGGCGACGAUACAUAGCCGACCUGAGAGGGUGAUCGGCCACACUGGGACUGAGACACGGCCCAGACUCCUACGGGAGGCAGCAGUAGGGAAUCUUCGGCAAUGGACGGAAGUCUGACCGAGCAACGCCGCGUGAGUGAAGAAGGUUUUCGGAUCGUAAAGCUCUGUUGUUAGAGAAGAAUGAUGGUG
RNAcentral lists this ribosomal RNA (465 nucleotides) under Streptococcus dysgalactiae subsp. equisimilis. RNAcentral's name for it is "bacterial SSU rRNA". It matches the Rfam family "Bacterial small subunit ribosomal RNA", at positions 1 to 457 of the family's 1533-position model. Lineage: Bacteria; Bacillati; Bacillota; Bacilli; Lactobacillales; Streptococcaceae. The record is from RNAcentral.